CCAGAGAACUUUCCAGAGAUGGAUUGGUGCCUUCGGGAACUCUGAGACAGGUGCUGCAUGGCUGUCGUCAGCUCGUGUUGUGAAAUGUUGGGUUAAGUCCCGCAACGAGCGCAACCCUUAUCCUUUGUUGCCAGCGGUUAGGCCGGGAACUCAAAGGAGACUGCCAGUGAUAAACUGGAGGAAGGUGGGAUGACGUCAAGUCAUCAUGGCCCUUACGAGUAGGGCUACACACGUGCUACAAUGGCGCAUACAAAGAGAAGCGACCUCGCGAGAGCAAGCGGACCUCAUAAAGUGCGUCGUAGUCCGGAUUGGAGUCUGCAACUCGACUCCAUGAAGUCGGAAUCGCUAGUAAUCGUGGAUCAGAAUGCCACGGUGAAUACGUUCCCGGGCCUUGUACACACCGCCCGUCACACCAUGGGAGUGGGUUGCAAAAGAAGUAGGUAGCUUAACCUUCGGGAGGGCGCUUACCACUUUGUGAUUCAUGACUGGGGUGAAGUCGUAACAAGGUAGGCGUAGUGCU
RNAcentral lists this ribosomal RNA (520 nucleotides) under uncultured bacterium. Its description in RNAcentral is "bacterial SSU rRNA". It matches the Rfam family "Bacterial small subunit ribosomal RNA", at positions 988 to 1509 of the family's 1533-position model. The record is from RNAcentral.